RNAcentral lists this ribosomal RNA (261 nucleotides) under uncultured bacterium. RNAcentral describes it as "partial 16S ribosomal RNA". It matches the Rfam family "Bacterial small subunit ribosomal RNA", at positions 793 to 1055 of the family's 1533-position model. The record is from RNAcentral.
GUCCACGCCCUAAACGAUGAUUACUGGACAUUUGCGAUAUACAGUGAGUGUCUGAGCGAAAGCAUUAAGUAAUCCACCUGGGAAGUACGUCCGCAAGGAUGAAACUCAAAGGAAUUGACGGGGGGUCCGCACAAGCGGUGGAGUAUGUGGUUUAAUUCGAUGAUACGCGAGGAACCUUACCUGGGCUAGAAUGCGCGUGACCGGUUCUGAAAGGAACUUUUCUAGCAAUAGACACAAAGCAAGGUGCUGCAUGGCUGUCGU